RNAcentral lists this long non-coding RNA (416 nucleotides) under Bos taurus (domestic cattle). Its description in RNAcentral is "long non-coding RNA NONBTAT009312". Lineage: Eukaryota; Metazoa; Chordata; Mammalia; Artiodactyla; Bovidae. The record is from RNAcentral.
GGGCCACUUAGGUGUUUAAAGAAUCAGAUGUCCUCUCACAAUAAUAAUAGCGAUGAUAGUGAAUUUUUACUUAGCAUUUAAAAGCACAGAGCUGAAGCUGACUGCCCUCCUUACUAUGGGGAACCUUGAAGAUUGUGUGUAUCACAUUUAUCCCCAUCUCCCACCCAUCCCCAAGCCCAUGUCUGCUCCAUGAAAUGAGAGCUUGAUUACUAUCAACACAUGAGCUCCAAGGUGUUUGCAGCCCAGUUAGUGCAACAGAAGUUCAGGAAAGGCCCUGCCAAGAGGGCGAGCCUCAGUAGAACCUCAGUGCUCCCUGGGGCUGUGGCACACAUCUGGGCAAAGGCACUGGAAUGAGGAAGAGACUGGUGGAACUUCAACCUGAGAGACAGCAGUGCAUGUUCUUUCAAGAAUUACAC